GAGUUUGAUCCUGGCUCAGGAUGAACGCUGGCGGCGUGCCUAAUACAUGCAAGUCGAGCGAACGGACGAGAAGCUUGCUUCUCUGAUGUUAGCGGCGGACGGGUGAGUAACACGUGGAUAACCUACCUAUAAGACUGGGAUAACUUCGGGAAACCGGAGCUAAUACCGGAUGAUAUUUUGAACCGCAUGGUUCAAAAGUGAAAGACGGUCUUGCUGUCACUUAUAGAUGGAUCCGCGCUGCAUUAGCUAGUUGGUAAGGUAACGGCUUACCAAGGCAACGAUGCAUAGCCGACCUGAGAGGGUGAUCGGCCACACUGGAACUGAGACACGGGUCCAGACUCCUACGGGAGGCAGCAGUAGGGAAUCUUCCGCAAUGGGCGAAAGCCUGACGGAGCAACGCCGCGUGAGUGAUGAAGGUCUUCGGAUCGUAAAACUCUGUUAUUAGGGAAGAACAUAUGUGUAAGUAACUGUGCACAUCUUGACGGUACCUAAUCAGAAAG
This 500-nucleotide ribosomal RNA is filed under the name uncultured microorganism. Its description in RNAcentral is "bacterial SSU rRNA". It matches the Rfam family "Bacterial small subunit ribosomal RNA", at positions 9 to 490 of the family's 1533-position model. The record is from RNAcentral.